Molecule: small nuclear RNA, 161 nt
Filed under: Merops nubicus (carmine bee-eater)
Lineage: Eukaryota; Metazoa; Chordata; Aves; Coraciiformes; Meropidae
Description: U1 spliceosomal RNA
Rfam family: U1 spliceosomal RNA
About the family: U1 is a small nuclear RNA (snRNA) component of the spliceosome (involved in pre-mRNA splicing). Its 5' end forms complementary base pairs with the 5' splice junction, thus defining the 5' donor site of an intron.
Source: Rfam by way of RNAcentral
AUACUUACCUGGCAGGGGAGACACCAUGAUCAGACAGGUGGUUUUCCCAGGGCGAGGCUCAUCCCCUGCUCUCCGGGUGUGCUGACCCCUGCGAUUUCCCCAAAUGCAGGAAACUCGACUGCAUAAUUUGUGGUAGUGGGUUUUGUUUUUUUUUUUUCUUU